AUAGCCUAACGGCUGAACCAGCAAUUUGGGAGAAUGAGGUUGGUAACAUGACAAGUGGGGCCAGAGAAUAGUUACGCAAGGAUCUGUUUUCUGGCGGGGAAUCGGCUUAGUCGAAUAAAGUUCUAGAUAGAAUAAUGAUUAUGACAAUUUUCUAUCUAAAUGUCUUGACCAAGUCACGUGCCAGCAGUCGCGGUAAUACGUGGAAGACUAGUGUUAUUCAUCUUUAAUAGGUUUAAAGGGUACCUAGACGGUAUUUCUAGCCCCCAAAGGGUACGGAUUUACUAGAGUUUUAUGUGAGAGGCAAAUAUUAGUACUAUUGGUGUAGAGAUGAAAUUCUUUGAUACUACUAGGACUGGUGGCGGCGAAAGCAACCCUCUAAGUAUAAACUGACGUUGAGGGACGAAGGCUUGGGUAGCGAAUAGGAUUAGAUACCCUAGUAGUCCAGGCAGAAAAUUAUGAGUGCCAUAGACUAGAUUAAAUAAUUUUGGUCUAUAAAUGAAAGUGUAAGCAUUCCACCUCAAGAGUAAUGUGGCAACGCAGGAACUGAAAUCAUUAGACCGUUUCUGAAACCAGUAGUGAAGUAUGUUAUUUAAUUCGAUAACCCUCGAAAAACCUUACCACAAUUUGAAUGUAAUAUAUGUAGUAGUCUAAUAAUUGUCUAGUUAACAACUACAUGUAUUAACACAAGCGUUGCACGGCUGUCUUCAGUUAAUGUCGUGAGAACUUGGUUAGAUCCAUUAAAUUAACGUAAUCCCUUUCGUUAGUUCUCUGAACUAAUGAAGUUCACCGCUAUAU
RNAcentral lists this ribosomal RNA (795 nucleotides) under Lichenothelia convexa. RNAcentral describes it as "mitochondrial SSU rRNA". It matches the Rfam family "Bacterial small subunit ribosomal RNA", at positions 371 to 1161 of the family's 1533-position model. The record is from RNAcentral. Lineage: Eukaryota; Fungi; Ascomycota; Dothideomycetes; Lichenotheliales; Lichenotheliaceae.